Molecule: long non-coding RNA, 1347 nt
Organism: Nasonia vitripennis (jewel wasp)
Lineage: Eukaryota; Metazoa; Arthropoda; Insecta; Hymenoptera; Pteromalidae
Exons: 2
Source: RefSeq, a predicted model, not a curated record
GAUCGAUGAUCUACGGAAGCCCGGUCACGACAUCUGUAGGUAGGCAAGUUAGUUAGCGCGUUACCAAGAUAUCGUGCAAAUUGACUUGACGAGUUCGCAACUUUGCAUGCGUGUUAGUUAACGAGUUGCAAAAAAAAUCUCAACAAAAAUCUUUGGUUUGUUAUCGUUAUGGUAAAGGGGUAAUAAUUUGGAUGAGCCUGAUUGAGCAGUUGACAUGAAGUGUUAGUUCCGUAUAUCGAGCUGAGUGAAAUAUAAACUGUUGGUCAAAAUAAACAAUGGUUUGAAAUACUGAAGAGAUUAGUGAAUUUCUUUGUAAAGUCAUUUAUAAUAACACAAUUUUCUCAAUAAUCUUGGAUACAAAUCAUUGUGGUUACGAUUAAGAUUAAAGUAUGGAUUAGACGUUUACAGAAAUACAGUGUUAGAAUUGCUCCAUAUUUUAGAUCCAAAAGGGAUUGAGGAAAUAUCUAAAUAUCGUCUCAAGAGAAGAGUUUACAAAGUAGGUGGGCCAAAUUAUUUGUGGCAUUUCGACGACCACGACAAAUUAAAACCCUUUGGAUUUCCAAUUCAUGGAUGUAUAGAUGGAUACUCCAGAAAAAUUACCUGGAUUCAAUUCCAACAUUAGUUCGUUCAGAUCAUGGAACAGAGAACAGUAUUGUAGAAAACGUUCAUCAAGUAUUGAGGUUUAAACACCUAGACGAAUUAUCUGGUAUUAAGAGUUUCGUUAAAGGAAAGGGCACAGCAAAUCAGAGGAUAGAAAGUUUUUGGUGAAGGCAGAAAAGUCAUGGAUUGAAUUUUUGGAUUCUAUUUUUCAAGGAUAUGGUGGAUAGUGGUCAUUUUGAUAGAGCAGAUCCGAUGCAAGUAGAAAGCUUGAGGUUUUGUUUUGGGCCCUUAAUUCAAUACGAUCUUGAUGUAAUGACAAAGGAGUGGAAUCGCCCUUCUAUAAGAAAGUAGAAAAUAGCAGUUGUUCAAUCUGGAAAACCCAACUAUUUAUAUUAUGUGCUUGAAAAAAAUGGAGCAAAGAAUUACGGCCUUCCUGUCGAAGAAGCUGCAGUUGAAAAUGCCUUGGAGAAUUUCAGUGAGAAACCAACGUACUGCAACCAAUUUUUUUUUCAAUUGAUUGAUGAAGUAUUACCAAAUGUAACGACUCCAAAGAAUGUACGAGAAGCUACAUUUUUGUAUCACAGAAUACAAGACGAAUUGAAAAAGUACAAUUAAUAUUAAAAAUGAUUUUCCGUAAAUACACGUUGAUUAAAAAUAUAAAAACUGGUUUUUGGUACACGAUUAAUGUAUGGAUUGAAAACUAUUGUUAGUCGAAAUAAGUGUAAAUAAAUUGAGGAGUAUCAUGAA